This 460-nucleotide ribosomal RNA is filed under the name Rubrivivax sp. JA627. Its description in RNAcentral is "bacterial SSU rRNA". It matches the Rfam family "Bacterial small subunit ribosomal RNA", at positions 53 to 511 of the family's 1533-position model. The record is from RNAcentral. Lineage: Bacteria; Pseudomonadati; Pseudomonadota; Betaproteobacteria; Burkholderiales; Sphaerotilaceae.
CCAUGCAGUCGAACGGUAACAGGCCGCAAGGUGCUGACGAGUGGCGAACGGGUGAGUAAUGCAUCGGAACGUGCCCAGUAGUGGGGGAUAGCCCGGCGAAAGCCGGAUUAAUACCGCAUACGACCUACGGGUGAAAGCGGGGGACCGCAAGGCCUCGCGCUAUUGGAGCGGCCGAUGUCAGAUUAGGUAGUUGGUGGGGUAAAGGCCUACCAAGCCUGCGAUCUGUAGCUGGUCUGAGAGGACGACCAGCCACACUGGGACUGAGACACGGCCCAGACUCCUACGGGAGGCAGCAGUGGGGAAUUUUGGACAAUGGGCGCAAGCCUGAUCCAGCCAUGCCGCGUGCGGGAAGAAGGCCUUCGGGUUGUAAACCGCUUUUGUCAGGGAAGAAAUCUUCUGGGUUAAUACCUCGGGAGGAUGACGGUACCUGAAGAAUAAGCACCGGCUAACUACGUGCCAG